Molecule: ribosomal RNA, 450 nt
Filed under: uncultured bacterium
Lineage: Bacteria
Description: partial 16S ribosomal RNA
Rfam family: Bacterial small subunit ribosomal RNA
Source: RNAcentral
GUGGGGAAUAUUGGACAAUGGGCGAAAGCCUGAUCCAGCCAUGCCGCGUGUGUGAAGAAGGUCUUCGGAUUGUAAAGCACUUUAAGUUGGGAGGAAGGGCAGUAAGUUAAUACCUUGCUGUUUUGACGUUACCGACAGAAUAAGCACCGGCUAACUUCGUGCCAGCAGCCGCGGUAAUACGAAGGGUGCAAGCGUUAAUCGGAAUUACUGGGCGUAAAGCGCGCGUAGGUGGUUUUGUAAGUUGGAGGUGAAAUCCCCGGGCUCAACCUGGGAACUGCCUCGAAAACUGCAUGACUAGAGUACGGUAGAGGGUAUUGGAAUUUCCUGUGUAGCGGUGAAAUGCGUAGAUAUAGGGAGGAACACCAGUGGCGAAGGCGACUACCUGGACUGAUACUGACACUGAGGUGCGAAAGCGUGGGGAGCAAACAGGAUUAGAAACCACGGUAGUCC